This 914-nucleotide ribosomal RNA is filed under the name Craterellus melanoxeros. RNAcentral describes it as "LSU rRNA". It matches the Rfam family "Eukaryotic large subunit ribosomal RNA", at positions 64 to 938 of the family's 3401-position model. Lineage: Eukaryota; Fungi; Basidiomycota; Agaricomycetes; Cantharellales; Hydnaceae. The record is from RNAcentral.
ACUAACAAGGAUUCCCUCAGUAACGGCGAGUGAAGAGGGAAGAGCUCAGUUUUGAAAUCUGGCAGUCAUUCACUGUCCGAGUUGUAAAUUGAAGAGACUGUCAUCCACACUGGACCAUGUCUAAAUUGUAAUGAUCCACAGUCCUUUGAUGGAGUAUCAGAGAGGGUAAUAAUCCCGUCUUUAACGUGGACUCCCAGUGUUUAUGUGAUGCUCUCUCUCAGAGUCGAGUAGUUUGGGAAUGCUGCUCUAAUGGGAGGUAAAUUCCUUCUAAAGCUAAAUAUUGGCGAGAGACCGAUAGCGAACAAGUACCGUGAGGGAAAGAUGAAAAGAACUCUGAAAAGAGAGUCAAACAGAACGUGAAAUUGCUGAAAGGGAAGCGUUUGAAGUCAGAUACAUCUUCAUGGAAUAACGGCUCAGUUAGCAGAGACUGAGGUCAGUGACUUGAAGAUGGGCCAGCACUCACGUAGACCAUUGGAAAAGGGGUCAUGGAAUGUAGCUCAAUUCUUGAGUGAUUAUAGCCUUGACCCAUAUACAGUGUUGUUAUGUGAGAUUGACAGCACGACUUUUUUUUUUUUGUCAGUGCUUGCUUGACUGGCAUAAUGGCUCUAAGCGACCCGUCUUGAAACACGGACCAAGGAGUCUAACAUGUAUGCGAGUAUUAGAGUGAUUGAAACUCUGAAUGCGGAAUGAAAGUGGUCUUGACUGAGAAUCCUCAGUUAGGGGAGGCAUCAGUACCCCGAGUCUACUAGUCUUUGACUAAAGAUUUGGAGGUAGAGCAUAUAUGUUGGGACCCGAAAGAUGGUGAACUAUGCCUGAAUAGGGUGAAGUCAGAGGAAACUCUGAUGGAGGCCCGUAGCGAUUCUGACGUGCAAAUCGAUCGUAGAAUUUGGGUAUAGGGGCGAAAGACUAAUCGA